Bos taurus (domestic cattle) is the source of this 4590-nucleotide long non-coding RNA. Lineage: Eukaryota; Metazoa; Chordata; Mammalia; Artiodactyla; Bovidae. The record is from Ensembl.
AUGUAGACCACAAACUUUUAUUUCCAACACAUCACAUGAAAAUCCACAGAAAAGGGGAAAAAAUAGCAAACUUUAUAAAACUGAAAAUUGUACCGGUGAAAUCACUUAUCCAGAAAGUCAAAACCCAGGCCAGAAAUGAAGAAAAAAUAUUUGCAAACUACACAUGUGAUAAAGAACUUGUACCUGCAUAAUAUAAAGUGCUAUGAAACAAGCAGCUACGUUAAAAAAAUGGGUACCAGGAGCUUAUUUAACUAAUAUGCAGAGUACAUCAUGUAAAAUGCUGGGCUGGAUGAAACUCAAGCCGGAAUCAAGAUUGCCAGAAUAAAAUUAUCUCAUACGCAGAUGACACCACCCUUAUGGCAGAAAGCAGAGAGAAACUAAAGAGCCUCUUGAUGAAGGUAGAAGAGGAGAGUGAAAAUGCUGGCUUAAAACUCAGCAUUCAGAAAGCUAAGAUCAUGUCAUCCGAUCCCAUCACUUCAUGGCAAACAGAUGGGGAAACAGUGGAAACAUUGACAGACUUGUUUUCUUGGGCUCCAAAAUCACUGUGGAUGGUGACUGCAGCCAUGAAAUUAAAAGAUGCUUGUUCCUUGGAAGAAAAGCUAUGACCAACCUAGACAAUAUAUUAAAAAGCAGAGACAUCUGCUGACAAAGGUUGGUAUAGUCAAAGCUGUGGUUUUUCCAGUAGUCAUGUAUGGAUGUGAGAGUUGGACCACAAGGAAGCCUGAAUUGAUGCUUUCAAACUGUGGUGCUGAAGAAGACUCUUGAGUCCCGUGGACUGCAAGGAGAUCCAAUCAGUCCAUCCUAAAGGAGAUCAGUCCUGGCUGUUCAUUGGAAAGACUGAUGCUGAAGCUGAAGCUCCAAUAUUUAGGCCACCUGAUUCGAAUGAAGAACUGACUCCCUGGAAAAGAUCCUGAUGCUGGGGAAGAUUGAAGGCAGGAGGAGAAGGGGACGACAGAGGAUGAGAUGGUUGGAUGGCAUCACUGAUCAAUGGACAUGAGUUUGAGCAAACUCUGGGAGAUGGUGAUGGACAGGGAGGCCUGGCGUGAUGCAGUCCAGGGGGUUGCAGAGUUGGACACGACUGAGCGACUGAACAGCAGCCAGUGCCUCCACCAUCGCCUCCUCUGGGCCACCUUGCUCUAGAUGUGCCCAGGCGGCUUCGGGAGCCCAGUGUCUCCCGGCUCUCACCUCACCCCAGCGCUGCCCAGGGCUGUUUGUCAGAAACUGUGCUGGUUACAAAGAGAAGAUGCUCCUUCCCCAUGGCCCUCCCAGGGCAAGGGGCACUUUUAAACAGGCACUUCCAGGAUGGGAAGCCACCUGGGCAGAAGCCUUCCAGAACCCGACUCACCUGGGCAGCCCAUGGAGUUUAUCUGGCCUCCCCCAACCAGGCCUCCACAUCUCCCCUCCUCUCCCUCACUCCUGGGCUCCUCUCCUGGGGAGAGUUCUUUUCUUUUUUUAAGAUUCAUUCAUUUAUUUUACUGCUGGCUGUGGUAGGACUUUAUCACUGCACACGAGCCUCCUCUCUGGUUGUCGGGAGUGGGGGCUCCUCCUCGCCAAGGUCAGCGGGCUUCGCAUCGUGGCGCCUUCUCUUGCCUGGAGCUCAGGCUCCAGAUGGGCCAACUUCAGUAGUUGCAGUGCGUGGGUCCCAGCGCACAGGCUCAGCUGCUGGGGCGCAGCCUCACUCUCUCUGAGGCAUGUGGGAUCAUCCUGGCCAGAGAUCACCAGAGAUCGAACUGGUGUCCCAUGCUUUGCAAGGUGGAUUAAUAACCACUGGACCACCAGGAACGCAUGACAGGUCUUCUUGAAAUUGUUUCCCACUUAUAGGCCAGUUAACAUACUUAGCAGACAGACCAGAGCUGCAGCCCCACGUCCAUCCUGACCUUCAGGACACAGCUGGUCCGUGGACUUGGGACAGCAGGGCCCGUUUUCUGUAAAUGAGCCCCUGGUGGGCAAGGAUCGGCUGACCCGGGCAGCGUGACCCAGCUGGCCAGCCCUUCCCAGGUGUGCCUGCUUGAGGCCCUGGUUCCAGGCAGGAGGGCGCCUGCAGCGGUACCAGACAUCACCUUCUCUGCCAUCAGAGGCCGCAGGGCUGGGCUGGCGAGAGGGAAUGAGGGGCCGUGGCGUGUCAGGGGGUCGCCUGCACGGGGCUCUGCUGGGCCUUCUGCAGGAGUUGCUAGGCUGCCACUUGAUAAGGAAGAGGUUGUGUUGCUGGUACCUGCUGUUGGAAGUCUUCCCAGGCAGAGGAGAUCACCGCAGCCCCAUAUAGACCAGCACAGACAGCAGUCAUGUGGGUGGGCAUCUGGGGAGAAGGAGGACCUGGGAAAUACCAAGGCCUGGCUUCAUCAGACGUGAUAUCUCCCACCGUGGGGCCCGUGAGAACAGCCACCCCAUCCUGUCCGUGGAAAGGAGCCCGGUGUCGAGUCCAGCAGGGCUUACCUUGCAAAGCUGGCUCUCCUCGGUGGCACCAUCAAAACCACCAGGCGAUACCCUGUUUUUCCCUGCUGGUGCCAGUUUCUCAAGACUACAUGACCACCCGACCAUGAGACCCCUUUGACUAUGUGACCACAGGACUCCAGCUGUGGGCUAAGGAUAAACCCCUCUGGGGCACAAUUUCCCAUCGAUACGGUAUAAGAAGGGUUGGCUGUAACAAGAGAGCACUGGUUUCUCUCUAAAACCACUUUCUUUCUUCCUAUAAUAAAUAUUUCUCUGCCUGACUGUCCGGCUCACUCUCCUUUUCUCCAUGCUCGCCUUACAGCCAGGACUCAGAGUAGCAAAGUCAGGCCUCAGGAAGAGAAUGGAACCUCAGUGAGAAGCGAGCCGGAACUCACUGAGGUUGUAGCCAUGCCCCGGUGUGGAGUGGAGCCUGGCCUCAGUGAGGUCCAGAGCCGGGACUCAGAGUAGUCAAGUCAAUCCUCAGGAAGAGGGAGAAGAGAACCUCAGUGAGAAGCCAGCUGGGCUCAGUGAGAACCCUAGCCAGACCCCAGUGUGGGUGGAGCCAGUCCUCAGUCAGAGAGAAGCUGGGUCUCACUGAGGAGCAGAGCCAGACCUCAGAGAGGACCCGAGUCCAGUCUCUAUGUGGAGUGUAGCUGGGCCUCAGUGUAGAAUGGAGUCUUGCCUCAGAGAACCAAAUUCCGUCCUCAAGGAGGACCAGGCUGGGCCUGAGUGAAGAGUGGAGGUGAACCUUCACUCUCAGUGAAGGAACGUUGGGCUUCAGUGAGGAGGGUAGCUGAACCACAGUGAGGCCCAGAGCAGGACUCAGUGCUGGAGCUGAAUCUCAGUGAGGCCCAGAGCAGGACUCAGUGCUGGAGCCAGGCCCCGGUGCGGAGCAGAGCCAGGCCUACCUGAGGAGUGGCGCUGGCCCCAAGUGAGGAGGGGAGCCUGGCCUCAGAGUAGCAGUCAGGCCUCACGGAGGUGAACCAAACCUCGGUUAGAAGCAAGCCAAAUCUCUGUGAGGACCAGAGCCGGGGCUCACUAAGGACCUGAGCGUGGACUGGAGCUGUGCUUCACUGAGGACGAUACCGUGGCCUCACCGAGAACCACAGCCAGGCCCAUUGCAGGGCGGAGCUGUGCGGCAGUGCUGAGCGGAGCCAGGCCUCUGCAGGAGGAGCUGGGUCUCACGGAGCGGAGCCGAGCGGAGCCUGGCCUCAGUGCGGACCCUACCCGGGCCCCAGAGCACAUCACAGGACCGGAGUGGAACCUCAGUGAGGACGGGAGACAGGCCUCAGUGGGGACCAGAGCCGGUCCUCAUUGUGGACUGGAGCUGGUUCUCAGUGGAGAGCAGAGCCAGGCCUCAGAGGAGCAAAGUCAUGCCUCAAGGAGGAGCACAGCUGAACUGCAGUGAGAAGACAGCCUGGCCUCUGUGAGGACCGUAACCAGGCCCGUGUGGAGCAGAGCUGUCCUCACCGAGGAGGGAGCCGGACCUCAGGGAGCAAGGGAGGCACACGUGAUUGCGCAGUGGGGCCAGGCCUCACCGAGGACCACAGCCAGGCCCAGUGAGGGGCAGAGCCUUGCCGGGUCUCAGUGCGGAGAGGACCUGGCGUGCUGAGCUGAGCCGAGACUCAGGCAGGGGUGCAGCUGGACUUCAGUGAGGAGCAGAGCCAGCUCUCAGCGUUGAGGUCCGGAGCCAGGCCUCUGUGUGGACCAGAGCCGGGACGUAUGAGUACCGGAACCGGGACUCAGAGUAGCAAAGUCAGGCCUGAGAGAGGUGGAGAAUGGAGCGUCAGUGAGAAGUGAGCUGGGCCUCACUGAUCACCAGAUCUGGACCCCCGUGUGGCAUGGAACCAGGCCUCAGUGCAGGGCCCCACUGAAGACUGGAGUUAGGCCCUAGUGGGGAGCAGAGCCACGUCUUAGUGUGAAGCAGACCCGAGCCUCAGUGAGCUCUGGGGCUGGGCCUCUGUGCAGACUGGAGCUGGGACUCAGAAUAGUAAAGUCAAGCCUCAGGGAUGAGAAGGGAACUUCAGUGAGAAGCGAGCCGGGCUCUGUGAGGAGCAGAGCCGAGUCUCACUGAGGACGGAGCCUCAGGUUUUUCUCCCAAGGGCCCCUCCCAGCAGGUCCUUAGGAAAUCUAGUUACUAGUUAUCCUCCACAUGUAUAC